Molecule: long non-coding RNA, 1978 nt
Organism: Magnolia sinica
Lineage: Eukaryota; Viridiplantae; Streptophyta; Magnoliopsida; Magnoliales; Magnoliaceae
Exons: 6
Source: RefSeq, a predicted model, not a curated record
CACGCCGACGUGGCGAUAACUGUAGAUGUUUAUCACCUUGUGUUUUUAUUAGGAUAUCUAUUCUUGGUUCCAAAUUGACCUUAUAUGAGGUAUUUAUAAUAGAACAACUUUCAUAUGUCAUUAUACAUCUAUACAGACAUGUGGAAGUGGUGGGUUUUCCAGGACCUUGUUUCUACUUAUUUCCUUGUCCGGAAAAAAAAAAAAACACUGCUGUCCAUGUCCAAAAUCGGUAUAUCUAUGUCGACAUUGCAUUGUCGCAACAUUGUUUUUUGGUUACAUUGACUGCUCCUCUUUAUAUCCUGGAUUGUUUAAAUUGUGUAAGAUUUGUUCUAAUGGAAUGCUUUACUCUUUUUACUCUUUUAGGCUUGUCUUCUUUUAGUGAUUUGAUUAGUCUUUAAAAGAUAUUCAGGGAUUAAGUACCCGAGAAAGUGCAAAAAGGUGACAUGUUUAUCUUAUUUGCAACAAGCAACAUAAUUGCUUAUCAUUUAUUUGUCCAAUGAAAUGCAUUCAUGAAUAUUGAAAUCUUUUCAGUUACUUGCAACAGGAAUGACAGAAUUCUGAAAAUAAGAUCAAGAUUGUGCUUUGUUGACCAUCAAGAGUAUACCUGUGUUGAUACCCAAUACAACUGUCUCACGGAAAGUCAAAACUUGAAACACAUGUUGGUGAUCCAAGCCCUUCUACACACCAUCGUCAUGAUGAAUGUGUCUUCACCUACUAUCAGUUUUGUCCAUUCAUCAAAUGAGCCACACUUCUAUUAUGAAAAUGCAUGCAGUUUUGUCCAUUCAUUAGGUGAGCCACUCUUCUAUUGAGAAAAUGGAUGCAGUUUUGUCCAUUCAUUAGGUGAGCCACACUUCUAUUGAGAAAAUGGAUGCAGUUUUGUCCAUUCAUUAGGUGAGCCACACUUCUAUUGAGAAAAUGGAUGCUUAAAAGAUCGAUAAGAUGAUAACCAAUGGUACAUGAGUGGACCACUCAUUGACCAUGUUAGUGGACUGACCGAACUUUUACACUAGGACACUUUCACCAAGGGGUAGACCUGAUGAAUGGAAUGGAUCUCACACGCGUAUGCCACACUGGCACACGUGAGAGCCCUUAUAUUUGUCCUCUGUAGAAGUGCAUUCACAAGGACUAACUCCUUCAAAUGAUUUGCAAAAUUGGUUAUAGCUUUUGCAAGAAAUGCUCACUGAUGAGAAGUAUAGAUUGAGCUGUUGAACCGUGCCAAGAAAUGUCAAUAAUGCAGCCCAAUUCAGAGUAAUGGAAGAAUCUCUGAUGAAAUCUCUUUAUUCACAUUGAGAACACUAGAGACAUCACUGUUGGCAGGUAUCCAAUCAUGGUGAUAUAUGGGAGCUAGUGAAGAUCUCAACUUUUCGAUGGCUCAAUGAGAUGGCGCAUACUUGAAUUUCAGAUACAGGUCGAAUCUUGAUCUCCAAUCUUCCUAUGGAUGACCUGGCUACAAUUUUUCACCUUCCAACAAAUACCAUUCUAUGAACGGAUUCGACCAAACUUCCAUCCAAUACAACAGCUUGGAUUAGAGAAGCCAGACCUGGUACCUUUCAUCCCUUCCAUGUUCAAGUAUUUGAGGGAAAGGGGGAUGAAAGUCGAAGUAAAGGUUGUCUACUUUGCAAUUGAGGCUUUGUGGUUUACUCCAUUCAUGGAUGUGGCCCACUAGACUGCAUGGACAAACAAUCAAGACCACCAUCCCUCUGCUCACCCCUACCAUUGUGAGUGAUUGUACAGAAGACAGAGAAUCUGUGCUACCUGAUUUCAGUUGCAUAGUCAGAUUAUGAAGACCAGCAUCUACACACACCUACUGUUUGUUGGUGAUUGUACAAAAAACAUGCAGAUAGGAGAAUCCUAGCUGCCCAAUUUUCUCCGUUGAAUGUGAUAUUUAUACAGUUCGUACAAAAAUGGCUGAUUUUUGUCAUCACCCAUUUGCUUGAAGGCUCUUACUCAAACGGAUAGGAUUGUCCAAUUGAUGUGA